CCUACGGGAGGCUGCAGUGAGGAAUAUUGGUCCAUGGGCGCGAGCCUGAACCAGCCAAGUCGCGUGAGGGAAGACGGUCCUAUGGAUUGUAAACCUCUUUUGUCGGGGAGCAAAUUUCGCCACGCGUGUCGUUCCGAGAGUACCCGAAGAUAAAGCAUCGGCUAACACCGUGCCAGCAGACGCGGUAAGACGGAGGAUGCGAGCGUUAUCCGGAUGUAUUGGGUUUAAAGAGUGCGGAGGCGGAAGAUCAAGUCAGCGGUAAAAUUGAGAGGCUCAACCUCUGCGAGCCGUUGAAACUGGUUUACUUGAGUGAGAGAGAGGUAUGCGGAAUGCGAGGUGGAGCGGUGAAAUGCAUAGAUAUCACGAAGAACUCCGAAUGCGAAGGCAGCAUACCGGCGCUAAACUGACGCUGAUGCACGAAAGUGUGGGUAUCGAACAGGAUUAGAUACCCCGGUAGUC
Molecule: ribosomal RNA, 459 nt
Filed under: uncultured bacterium
Lineage: Bacteria
Description: partial 16S ribosomal RNA
Rfam family: Bacterial small subunit ribosomal RNA
Source: RNAcentral